GUAAUACUCCAUAGUUCGUUAUUACUGGAAUGUUUUUCGAACGAAAGAUCCGUCGCUUCAGGAUGAGUCUGCGGCCGAUUAGGUAGUUGUUGGGGUAAUUGCCCAACAAGCCUGUAAUCGGUACGGGUUGUGGGAGCAAGAGCCCGGAGAUGGAUUCUGAGACACGAAUCCAGGCCCUACGGGGCGCAGCAGGCGCGAAAACUUUACCAUGCGGGCAACCGUGAUAAGGAAACCCCGAGUGCCAGCACAGGCUGGCUGUCCGCCAGUUUAAACAACUGGCGAAGAAAGGGCCGGGCAAGACCGGUGCCAGCCGCCGCGGUAAUACCGGCGGCUCGAGUGGUGGCCGCUAUUACUGGGCUUAAAGGGUCCGUAGCUUGAUAAUAGGGUCCCUUGAGAAAUCCGCCGGCUUAACUGGCGGGCGUUCAGGGGAAACUUGUUUUCUAGGGACCGGGAGAGGUGAGGGGUACUGCCGGGGUAGGAGUGAAAUCCUGUAAUCCCGGUGGGACCACCUAUGGCGAAGGCAUCUCACCAAAACGGGUCCGACAGUGAGGGACGAAAGCUGGGGGAGCAAACCGGAUUAAAUACCCGGGUAGUCCCAGCUGUAAACUAUGUGCGUUAGGUGU
Molecule: ribosomal RNA, 623 nt
Filed under: uncultured archaeon
Lineage: Archaea
Description: bacterial SSU rRNA
Rfam family: Archaeal small subunit ribosomal RNA
Source: RNAcentral